Molecule: ribosomal RNA, 425 nt
Filed under: uncultured bacterium
Lineage: Bacteria
Description: bacterial SSU rRNA
Rfam family: Bacterial small subunit ribosomal RNA
Source: RNAcentral
AGAGUUUGAUCCUGGCUCAGAUUGAACGCUGGCGGCGUGCUUAACACAUGCAAGUCGUGCGAGAAAGGGGACUUCGGUCCCUGAGUAGAGCGGCGCACGGGUGAGUAACGCGUGGAUAAUCUCCCCAGAAGUUCGGGAUAACGGCGGGAAACUGCCGCUAAUACCGGAUACGCUCCAAUUUCGGUUGGGGGAAAGGCGGCCUCUGUUUACAAGCUGUCGCUUCUGGAUGAGUCCGCGUCCCAUUAGCUUGUUGGUGGGGUAAUGGCCUACCAAGGCUACGAUGGGUAGCUGGUCUGAGAGGAUGAUCAGCCACACUGGAACUGAAACACGGUCCAGACUCCUACGGGAGGCAGCAGUGGGGAAUAUUGCGCAAUGGGGGAAACCCUGACGCAGCGACGCCGUGUGAGGGAUGAAGGCUUUCGGGU